AAGAUGUGUAGGUCUGUGAAUGGGGUAGGAUCCGACGCCUCCAGAAAGCUACAUAGGCUCUCCUACCCAACUUCUAUUCUGGUAUGUUCUAGUCAUACAGACCGGAACAUGUAGUCCCGCUGAUCUGAGCUUGGAACGGAUCCAAUCCCAACCCCUUGGAGGGGAUGGGGAUGCAUGGCCAAGGCAGAAGAG
This 192-nucleotide ribozyme is filed under the name Anopheles sinensis. RNAcentral describes it as "drz-agam-2-2 ribozyme". It matches the Rfam family "drz-agam-2-2 ribozyme". Lineage: Eukaryota; Metazoa; Arthropoda; Insecta; Diptera; Culicidae. The record is from Rfam by way of RNAcentral.